RNAcentral lists this ribosomal RNA (274 nucleotides) under uncultured bacterium. RNAcentral's name for it is "partial 16S ribosomal RNA". It matches the Rfam family "Bacterial small subunit ribosomal RNA", at positions 523 to 796 of the family's 1533-position model. The record is from RNAcentral.
AUACAGAGGGUGCAAGCGUUAAUCGGAAUUACUGGGCGUAAAGCGUGCGUAGGUGGUUUGUUAAGUCAGAUGUGAAAGCCCCGGGCUCAACCUGGGAACUGCAUUUGAAACUGGCAUACUAGAGUAUAGGAGAGGAAAGUGGAAUUUCAGGUGUAGCGGUGAAAUGCGUAGAUAUCUGAAGGAACAUCAAUGGCGAAGGCAGCUUUCUGGACUAAUACUGACACUGAGGUACGAAAGCGUGGGUAGCAAACAGGAUUAGAAACCCUAGUAGUCC